GAUGAACGCUGGCGGCGUGCUUAACACAUGCAAGUCGAACGGGAUCCAAGGGGUGCUUGCACUUUUUGGUGAGAGUGGCGAACGGGUGAGUAACACGUGAGUAACCUGUCCUUUUCUUUGGGAUAAGCAUUCGAAAGGGUGUUUAAUACCUUAUGUUCUGUCUGCCUCGCAUGGGGUGGGUGGGAAAGGCUUUGGCCGGAUUUGGGUGGGCUCGCGGUCUAUCAGCUUGUUGGUGGGGUGAUGGCUUACCAAGGCUUUGACGGGUAGCCGGCCUGAGAGGGUGGUCGGUCACAUUGGGACUGAGAUACGGCCCAGACUGCUGCGGGAGGCAGCAGUGGGGGAUAUUGCACAAUGGGCGAAAGCCUGAUGCAGCGACGCCGCGUGGGGGAUGAAGGCCUUCGGGGUGUAAACUUCUUUUGCUCUGAACAAGGCAUGCCAGUGGGUGUGUUGAGUGUAGGGGUUGAUUAGCGCCGGCUAACUACGUG
This 485-nucleotide ribosomal RNA is filed under the name uncultured bacterium. RNAcentral describes it as "partial 16S ribosomal RNA". It matches the Rfam family "Bacterial small subunit ribosomal RNA", at positions 28 to 507 of the family's 1533-position model. The record is from RNAcentral.